GUUUAUGUAGCUUAAACCCGCACAAAGCAAGACACUGAAAAUGCCUAGAUGGGUUCACACACCCCAUAAAC
Molecule: transfer RNA, 71 nt
Filed under: Macaca assamensis (Assam macaque)
Lineage: Eukaryota; Metazoa; Chordata; Mammalia; Primates; Cercopithecidae
Description: partial tRNA-Phe
Rfam family: tRNA
About the family: Transfer RNA (tRNA) molecules are approximately 80 nucleotides in length. Their secondary structure includes four short double-helical elements and three loops (D, anti-codon, and T loops).
Source: RNAcentral